RNAcentral lists this transfer RNA (79 nucleotides) under Felis catus (domestic cat). It matches the Rfam family "tRNA". From Rfam's summary of the family: Transfer RNA (tRNA) molecules are approximately 80 nucleotides in length. Lineage: Eukaryota; Metazoa; Chordata; Mammalia; Carnivora; Felidae. The record is from Rfam by way of RNAcentral.
GCCUGGGUGGCUCAGUUGGUUAAGCAUCUGACUUCAGCUCAGGUCAUGAUCUUAGUGAGUUCAAAUCCCACACGGGGCU